GAUGAACGCUUGCGGGAGGCCUAACACAUGCAAGCCGAGCGGUAUUGUUUCUUCUGAAAUGAGAGAGCGGCGGACGGGUGCGGAACACGUGUGCAACCUGUCUUUAUCUGGGGGAUAGCCUUUCGAAAGGAAGAUUAAUACUCCAUAAUAUAUUGAACGGCAUCGUUUAAUAUUGAAAGCUCCGGCUGGAUAGAGAUGGGCACGCGCAAGAUUAGCUAGUUGGUGAGGUAACGGCUCACCAAGGACGAUGAUCUUUAGGGGGCCUGAUAGGGUGAUCCCCCACACUGGUACUGAUACACGGACCACACUCCUACUGGAGGCAGCAGUGAGGAAUAUUGGUCAAUGGGUGCAAGCCUGAACCAGCCAUCCCGCGUGAAGGACGACUGCCCUAUGGGUUGUAAACUUCUUUUGUAUAGGGAUAAACCUACCCUCGUGAGGGUAGCUGAAGGUACUAUACGAAUAAUCACCGGCUAACUCCGUGCCAGCAGCCGCGGUAAUACGGAUGGUGCAAGCGUUAUCCGGAUUUAUUGGGUUUAAAGGGUCCGUACGCGGACUUAUAAGUCAGUGGUGAAAGCCUGUCGCUUAACGAUAGAACUGCCAUUGAUACUGUAAGUCUUGAGUAUAUUUGAGGUAGCUGGAAUAAGUAGUGUAGCGGUGAAAUGCAUAGAUAUUACUUAGAACACCCAUUGCUAAGUCAGGUUACCAAGAUAUAACUGACGCUGAGGGACCAAAGCGUGGGGAGCGAACAGGAUUAGAUACCCUGGUAGUCCACGCCGUAAACGAUGCUAACUCGUUUUUGGGCUUUAGGGUUCAGAGACCAAGCGAAAGUGAUAAGUUAGCCACCUGGGGAGUACGCUCGCAAGAGUGAAACUCAAAGGAAUUGACGGGGGCCCGCACAAGCGGUGGAUUAUGUGGUUUAAUUGCGAUGAUACGCAGAGGACACCUUACCAAGCACUUACAAUGCGGAAUUGUACAGCUCUUGAGAAUGUAGAGCUUUCUUUCUGGACAGAUUUUACAAGGUGCUGCCAUGGGUGUCGUUCCAGGCUCGUGCCGUGGAGAGUGUUAGAGGUUAAGUCCUGCAACGAGCGCAACCCCUGUCACUAGUUGCCAUCAUUCAGUUGGGGACUCUAGUGAGACUGCCUACGCAAGUAGAGAGGAAGGUGGGGAUGACGUCAAAUCAUCACGGCCCUUACGUCUUGGGCCACACCCGUAAUACAAUGGCCGGUACAGAGGGCAGCUACACAGCGAUGUGAUGCAAAUCUCGAAAGCCGGUCUCAGUUCGGAUUGGAGUCUGCAACUCGACUCUAUGAAGCUGGAAUCGCUAGUAAUCGCGCAUCAGCCAUGGCGCGGUGAAUACGUUCCCGGGCCU
RNAcentral lists this ribosomal RNA (1369 nucleotides) under uncultured bacterium. RNAcentral's name for it is "bacterial SSU rRNA". It matches the Rfam family "Bacterial small subunit ribosomal RNA", at positions 28 to 1381 of the family's 1533-position model. The record is from RNAcentral.